GCCUCAGUGGCUCAGUGGUAGAGCACCUCCUUGGUAAGGAGGAGAUCGUGAGUCCGAUUCUCACCUGAGGCU
This 72-nucleotide transfer RNA is filed under the name Aeriscardovia sp. Its description in RNAcentral is "tRNA-Thr". It matches the Rfam family "tRNA". Rfam says of the family: Transfer RNA (tRNA) molecules are approximately 80 nucleotides in length. The record is from RNAcentral. Lineage: Bacteria; Bacillati; Actinomycetota; Actinomycetes; Bifidobacteriales; Bifidobacteriaceae.